This 67-nucleotide transfer RNA is filed under the name Sphingomonas sp. RNAcentral's name for it is "tRNA-Ser". Lineage: Bacteria; Pseudomonadati; Pseudomonadota; Alphaproteobacteria; Sphingomonadales; Sphingomonadaceae. The record is from RNAcentral.
GCAGCGUAAGCGUUGAGGGACCUUGCCAAGGUUGGGGUCGAGGGUUCGAAUCCCUUCGCCCGCUCCA